CCCUUAGAUGUUCUGGGCCGCACGCGCGCUACACUGAUGCAUUCAACGAGUCUAAAACCUGCUCUGAUAGGGGUGGGUAAUCUUUUGAAUGUGCAUCGUGAUUGGGAUAGAUGAUUGCAAUUUUUCAUCUUCAACGAGGAAUGCCUAGUAAACGCAAGUCAUCAGACUGCAUCGAUUACGUCCCUGCCCUUUGUACACACCGCCCGUCGCUCCUACCGAUUGGAUGAUCCGGUGAGCUAUUCGGACUUUCGCAUUGUCGAUUUUCGGCUUUACGAGGGAAAGUCUCGCGAACCUUAUCAUCUAGAGGAAGGAGAAGUCGUAACA
RNAcentral lists this ribosomal RNA (324 nucleotides) under uncultured eukaryote. RNAcentral's name for it is "partial 18S ribosomal RNA". It matches the Rfam family "Eukaryotic small subunit ribosomal RNA", at positions 1470 to 1796 of the family's 1831-position model. The record is from RNAcentral.